This is a long non-coding RNA of Bactrocera oleae (olive fruit fly), 622 nucleotides long. RefSeq lists it as uncharacterized. Lineage: Eukaryota; Metazoa; Arthropoda; Insecta; Diptera; Tephritidae. The record is from RefSeq and is a predicted model, not a curated record.
UAAUAGACCGCAGACUCUUCCACUUUGAAGAAUUAAUAUUGAUGGCAAUAUUGGCAACUGACAAUUUCGCAAGCAAACUACCAAACAGCUGUUUGAAGUAUUUUUCAAAGUGUAAACAUUUUAACUGUCAAGUUAGUUAAUCGAUUUAUUUUUAAUAAAUUGUUUCUGGUUGUACAAUUUAGGUACUAGUUGAAUUUAUCAGAUAAACUAUGAAAUCGCGGGACGGGUAGAAAAAUAAUUCCUUUCAAGUUCUUAUAAGUAAAACAAUAUGACAUAAUAUGUCGGGUUUCCAGGCAAUUAUGGUGUAGUCCAUGUAAUGAGUACGUGCUGACUGCAUUUAAAGAUGAUUGUGUGCAGACUGCGCUCCACACAGAUCUUUUCUGCCCGACUAACAGUGGACGCACCUACGGAAAUAAUUUCAGAAUUUUCUUGGAAUAUGGAGAAUAUUGGAAGAGUCGUCGAAAAUUUAAAAUUGGCUGCGUAGCUUAGUUUUAUACUCUCGCAACAUGUUGCUACAAAGUAUAAGAGUUUUGUUCAUAUAACGGUUGUUUGUAUCACCUAAACUAAUCGAAAUACAAACAGUACUCAACUCUGGUUGCCCAGAGCUCGUUUAUUUACAGAA